AAAUAAAUAAACAUUUAUUUAUUAAAUAGUCCAUUGAAAGUCCAGGACUACUGUUGCUACCCAAAGCCCAAAUACAAAAAACCCAUAUCCGGGUAUAACCCAAUAGCCAAAACAAUACCUAAUACCCCUGAGCUAAACCCAAACCCAAAUAAGACCCGUUACACCCAGCAGCCCGUUAGACUCAUUAUCCCUGCUAGCCUAAGUCAGACCUAACCCAUUACAUUACAGACCUUGACCCAAAACAAAACAGCCCAAAAGGCCCAACAGACUUAAGAGAAACAGGGAAACCCUAGGGUUUCCUGAAUACUGUGGCGCCGCAAACAUUUCUGGAAGCUUCGGGGAGUGUCUGGCAACCCCCAAAUCGAGGCCACUGUUUAAUGAGUUGUCCCAAGGGCCUUCAAUGCUCAUCAACGCCCCGAUCAUCGGUCGUCCCUUGGUCUAGCCCCAAAUUACGUCAUGAAUGUCGUGACCGUCACCAAGGCUCCAUCAGCAUCGUGAUCAGUGCACGCGUCUACACCAGCAUGGUCACUGCUGGAUCCCUCGAUCGAUUGCCUGCAAGAAAAGGAAACAAACAGCAGAUACGCGAAAAAAGAAGAGUAGAAAAUGGCAAGGAAAUCACAGCACAUCAGUCAAAGAUACAAAGACACAAAAUAGAGAGAAAUCUUAGAUUUCUUUCCCCGAAUAUGUAAGGGACCAAGGCUAUAAAGCCUUUCUUUUUACUUGUAAAAAGGACUUACGUUCUGAAAAUACAGAGAGAAUCAAUAAAAACGAGAGAUUCAGCAGAAAGAUUUGUUCUUGCACAUAUAUACACAACAAGCAUCUCAAUCGAUUAAGUAUACAAAGGUGAAAUUUUUAAUACAUAUACAUACAUGUAAACUGUAAAUAAUGAAAAAGUAAAGGGUCGAACCUUUAUUUGUGUUAAAAAUCGAGGUUUGGACCUCCAACCACCGUAUGGGGAGGAGUUGGUGACGGCGCGUGAGCGCGUAAGGCCGAGGACCAAGGCUCGGCUCGACGGAGGCCGGAGCCAAGCACUCUCUCUUUCUCCUCUCAUUUUAGAGAGAAUUUUAAGUUUUUCUUUAAAAAACCCGGUGUAAAAUGAUUUUCGGGCUAAAGCUUUGGUUUAUAUAGCCCCUGUGAAACAUCGACGUUUUAGACCCCCAGGAUCCGCGCGUUGACCCGAUUACCCGGGGAGGAUCCGCGCAUUUUUGAGAAUUGGGUUAAUUACCCAAUUGAUCCUUUUGCCCCUUUUUGUAUUUGCAAUCAAACUUUAUUUUAUUUAUGAUUUGGCCCAAAUAUUUUAUUUUAGUUUUAAUUUAGUCCCGAUGGCUAUUAAAUUAUAUUCUGGAAAACGUCGCCGUUUUGGGGAUAGGGCAAUUUGCCCAGUGAGCCCCUUUGAUUUUGCGCGCGUUUUAAAUAGAGCCUUAAUUCAGUUUUAGUUCUUUUAAAUUCGCCUCGUAAUUUGGCUGGACUUUAAAUUUAGUCCUAUAUUAUUAUUAUUAUUAUAUAUAUUUAUAUAUUGUUAUUUGUUUUAUUUUAUUCUUACUUUUAUAUUACACAUUAAAAUUAUUUUAUUACAAGUAUUAUUAUAUGUAUUAUUAUUAUUUGUUAUUUUCCUCAAAUUAUUAUUAUUUUACAUCAAUUAUUUUAUAUUAUUAUUAUAUUUUCACAUAUAUUAUAUAUUUACUAAUUACAUGUCAUUUUUACAUAUAAACUUUCAUUGUUUUAUGUCAUAUUUCUUAUUUCCCAUAUAUUUUAUUAUAUAACAUUUAUUAUGAUUUAUUUUUUAUUCUACAUUACUUUUUUUAUAUAUGUUAUGUAUCUCAUAUAUUACCAAUUAUAUUAUUUAUGUUUAUAUCAUAUAUAUUAUUUAAAAUUUGUAAAUUAUCAUUAUUAAAAUGUAUUUUUAACACAUAUUACAUACAUAUCUAACUAUUAAUUAUUUGUUUAUGUAUUAUUUCAUUUUAAACUGAUAUUUUUGAAUCCUUUACAAACUUUUAAACGAGUAUAUUUUAUAUGUAUAAUUAUUAUUCUAUUUUUGUUAUUAUUUAUUACAUAUUAUAUUAAAUACUAUUUUAGAAUUAUUAAUAUCACAUUUUAAUUAUGUGCAUAUUUUGCUAACAAUUAUUAAUUUUAUUUUUAUUAGAUCUGUUAUAUAAUUUUAUAUUGUAUGUGUCAUGGGUGUAUUAAAUAUUAUUUUUAGAAUUAUUAUUAUAUGUUAUAUUUUGUAAGCAUAUACAUUGAUAUUAUAUUCUUAUUUGAAUGUCGUGAAUUAUUUAAUUAUUGCUUUCUUAUAUAUCGUGCAUUAUUUAAUUAUUACCUUGUAUGUUUGUAUAUUUUGUUUAUUCAUUCUCAAUACAUGCUAUAUAUAUCUUUGUAUGCAUAUUAUUAAUAUUUGCUAUUUUAUAUGUAUGAAUCUAAUGCACGUUCUUUAUAUCAUUGCCAUCAUUUUGUUUAAAUGCACGUUUUAUUUACCUACUACAAUAAUAUGUUACUAUGUAUGAUUUAUAAUGCAAUACAAUUCCCUACGCAUCAUCUUUAAAAAGACAAGGCUCCAAAAUUUUCAAAAAAAAAUAUAAGGCAAUGCUUGGUGUUUGGAAAUUUCGAAAAAGUAGUGCCCUAACUUAUUGGGUUGCGACUUUUCUCGUUAAGUUCGAAUAGUCAAGUACCCUUCUAAGUUUUUAAAGGUUUUCAAAACGUAAGCGACUGCCUUGGAACUGCAAAGCGAUAUGUCCUAACUUACUGGAUGUAGCAUUUUGUCGUUUCGAGAUAGGGAUUUCUAAAAAGGCUAACUUAGUGUCAAUACUUUGAUACAAGUGAACCCAAAUUUUCAAAAAAUCAAAAUAUUUUAAAGAGGAUUACAUCUUAAAAUCUUUAAAAUUUUUGACAUUUAAAGACAUUUGAUAAUCAAUUAGGUACCAAUUUUUGGGCGUUACGAGGGUGCUAAUCCUUCCUCGUACGUAACCGACUCCCAAACUCGUUCUAUUGAUUUCGUAGACCAAAACCGAUGAUUUUAAAACAAAAUGUUUUAAAGGUGAUCCAAUCACACCUAAAACGAUUGGUGCCGACUCCCGUUUUCAUUUUUUAAAAUCGAUUCCCAUUUUCCAAAACUCGAUUUAAAAAUGGUUUCGACAGCUUGGUGACUCCACUGGGGACCUUUAAGAGAGUCAUGCCGUGUAAUUAAUUAUCUCUUGUCUUAAUGUCGGAAAUUUAAAAAAUUUUAAGAUUUAAUCCUCUUUGCAUUACAUGUGUUUGUAUUAUUGCAUGUGUUGCUAUAUUCUAAUACGCAUUGCAUUUGCAUGACCGUUGUGGUCACACCCUUAAGUGGGAGUGAGAAGCUAUGCCUUCGUGAGGUUUUCGCCUCCGUGCAGGAUAGUGGAUCACUUUCGAGAUACAUCCAUACCUAUGGUUUCGUGAGAUUUUCAUCUCCGUGUAGCCAUAGGGAAAUGUAUUCCCCUGAACUAAACUCGAUUCAAAUGAGCCUAUAAUGGGUGAGGGUCGAGGAAUCUGCUGGUUCAGGUACCUCAAACUUUAGAACCAACCUCAUAUAGAAAAAACCGUAAGAGCCCAACUUAGUUAGAGUUAAACUUUAGAUAUUACCCUUAUAAAUUAUUGUUGAGAUUUAUUGAUAUCAUGUGAUACUGACUAUUUCUUUUCUUUUUUUUGCAUGACAUUUUUCAUUUACAAAGGUAUCGAUUCACGGUCAGUGUCUAAAUUAGAGAGUUUUAUUAUGGAGAACAGACUUUUUGAUAGAGUGGAGGCAACGCCAAUGUCCAUAGAUGGUCUGAGCAAACUCAGUUAGAAAAGGGAGAUAGUAUAGCUGCGGGAUAUAUGUCGGAGCUGUUAGGAUAUACUCGUAUCAGUGUUACGCAGAAUAAUCUCCAAGAGCUUAAAGAGAUUUGGGAUCAAUGGGGCAACGAGACUAAACAGUUAUUCUAUGGUAAUUACGGAGACUUACCUUACUUGCUCGAUGUUCAAAUAGAUGAGCACUUGUUCCGAGCCCUCGCUCAAUUUUGGAAUCCAGCGUACAGUUGCUUUACUUUCGGGGAGGUAGACUUGGUGCCUACCGUAGAGGAGUACACUGCCUCGUUACGAUGUCCCAGGUUCCAGGUGGAUAGAAUCUAUUCUCAAGCUGUUAAUGUCCCUACCUUUUAGAAGAAAUUGAUGGCUAUUACAGGGAUGAGCGAGCAGUGGAUUACUGCCAGAAUUAAAGAGAAGGGCGAGUGCAAGUGCAUUUCAUGGGAUACUUUGAAGGGUCUGAUUUUGACACACCCUGAUGAAGCAAAGAGGGUAGAUGUUUUUGCCUUAAGUUUGUACGGAUCGAUGGUGUUCCCUAGGGCUUUGGGAUAUGUGGAUGAGGCAACCACAGAUCUUUUCCAUAGACUCAGUAAGAGGGUCACCUCUAUCCCUACAAUUUUGGCAAAAACAUUCAGGUCCUUAGGCACAUGUAGGAAAGCUGGUGCAGGCAGGUUUGUUGGUUGUGCACAAUUGCUUCUAGCUUGGUUCUAUAGUCAUUUUCGGUUGAUAGAUAAGGUCGUUUGUCAGGUUUUCUUCGAGGAUUACUGACUGCUGAAGGACAUAGUCGCUUCAACUAGGAGAGUUGAUGCUCCAGAGGAGAAUUGGAUGGCACUACUUCAAAAUAUUCAGUCAAAAGAUGUUGACUAGAGAGCUCUGUGGAUGAUUCCUGGUGAGAUUCUUUACCGUUGCGGCAAUUUCGAUUGGGUCCCUUUAUUGGGAAUUUGGGGUGCCAUUGGUUAUGCCCCUUUGCUCGUGUUAAGGCAAUUCGGUUUGAGGCAGUUCGUGCCAGCAACUCAUGGGCUAACUCAAAGAGAGUUCGCAUAUAGAGGAGCCGAUUACAAAAAAAAUGUCGGUGAGAUUUCUAGCGCUUGGAACAAGACGUGUCGGUUGAAAGGAGUAGCUAUUGGCCCUGCUACGACUCCAGAAUAUGUUGAAUGGAAAGGUAGAAGGAUCAAUGAUAAUAUUCCUGAGCCAAAUAUGGAAAGAGCUCGACCGAUGGAGGAAUAUCUGCAAGUGAUGCCCUCGGAGUUAGAAAUUAUGAAGCAAGAAUUUGAGAUGAAAAAUUUGGAGCUUGAGAAAAGGAUAGGAAAGCUCGAAGAAGAAAAGAUGUACUUGAGUUUAGAUAUCGAUGUCCAGAAGAUGGAGGUCGAGAAAGAAAGAAAGGAAAAGAGGAAAAUUGAAGAGGAUAGAGAUGAUUUGAAGGAACACUACAAAAAGGCACAGGUAUCCUUGAGAAGAGCGAAAAUAGGAAGGUCUUCAGAUCAGUUGCAGAAAGAGGUCCAAGAAGGAAAGGCUAGAGCUGAGUACUGGGAGAAGAAGUUUAAAGAGAUGCAAUCGCGGAAUUUGGUAUUAGAAGAAGAGAAUAAAGGGUUAAAGUCUAAAAUAACUGAGCUUGGAAGAUCCCUUCGUUGGCAUCGCAACCAUGAUUCUACGAUCGAGUUAAAAGAGCUAAAGAGUAAAGUUGAAGAUUUAGAAGCGGCAUUGCAGGAAGGUAAACUUCAGAUCGAGCAACUCGAGACGCAAGGAGAUUAUCUAAAGGGAGAGCUUCAUCAGUCUAGAGGGCAGAUUAGAGAAAGGGAUCAUGUCAUGGGAGAAGCCAUAGCUCAGAUUCGAGAGGUUACUGAAUAUGUGCAAGACUUGGCAGUACGAGCCGAUGUAUUGAGUAUGAUGUGUGGGUCGUCAUCAGACAUAGGAAGAGAGUUAGCCCUUUUAUUAGAUAGAGUUAAAACUUUGGGUAUUAGGGCGAAAGCGUACUUGUAAUCCAUUUAUAUGUAAAGAUAUUCUUUUUCUAAAUAAAUUUUUCUAAACGAGAUUGAAUCGAGAUUGAUGCCUUUGUUGCAUUCAUACACUUGCAUUACAUCAUAUCAUAUGCAUUCAAGGUUAUAGAAAGACCCUAAUUAGUUAAAGUUUCUUUACAAAGGUAGAAAAGAAAAACUAGAAAUUACACAUCCUUACGGCACUCGCACUAAAACUAAGAACAUGGAUUAAAGGUCUGAGCAGUUGCGAAAGGAUAUGCAAGACCAGUUGCAAGAGCAGUUGGCUAAAAUGUAGAAUGAGAUGAGGGAACAAAUGAUGGAAGCUCAGAGGAAUAUAAUGGCCGAAAUGGCUCAGUUACUGAGGGCCACUGAUAAAGGAAAGGCUCCUAUGGCCAUCACUGAAGAGGAAAAUGAGGGUCCUCCUCCAGGUUUUACACCGCCGCAUGUAUCAUUGCAAACUGAGGCACCUCCUAGAAGGCCAUCUACUACUGUGAGGCCUCAGCAUGGGCCAAUUGAUGCUGGUGUCCAUGUGAAUUUUCUGGUUGGUUCAGGGCUUAAUAUGGGUGACAAUCUUACUAAUCCUCUUGUUCUCGAUCUAAAUAUGGUGGAAAAGGAGGAUUUGAAGGCCGAAGCUGCAAGGCAAUUGGAUGAACGCUGCAGAUGGUUAGAAGAAAAGUUCAAGGCUUUGGAAGGCACUAGCAAUAAUCAUGGGGUUGAUGCCAAGGACUUAAGUCUGGUCCCAAACUUAGUGUUACCUCACAAAUUCAAAAUGCCAAAAUUUGAAAAGGACAAUGGCACUACUUGCCCAGAGGCCCACAUCACAAUAUUUUGCAGAAGGAUGACAGGGUAUGUAAACAAUGAUCAGCUGUUGAUCCAUUGUUUUCAAGAUAGUUUGAUAGGAGCGGCAGCCAGAUGGUACAAUCAGUUGAGCCGGGCUAGAAUAAGUUCAUGGAGGGAUCUUGCACAAGCCUUCAUGCAACAGUACAAUCAUGUAACAGACAUGACCCCUGACAGGAUUACCCUGCAAAACAUGGAGAAGAAGCCUAAUGAGAAUUUUAGGCAAUAUGCACAGAGGUGGAGAGAGGUCGCGAUGUAGGUUCAACCACCACUGUUGGAGAAGGAGACCACUAUGUUAUUUAUUAAUACUCUGAAGUCCCCAUUUAUUACUCAUAUGAUUGGAAGCACUACUAAAAGUUUUGCGGACAUAGUUAUGGCAGGAGAGAUGAUAGAAAAUGCCAUAAGAGGGGGAAGAAUUAAGGGGGAAGUAGCCAAAAGAUCAGCCCCAAGAAGAAAAGACAACGAGGUAAACGAUACAAGUGAUUUUAAUUCAAAAGCAGUCACAGUUAGCCAGCCCAAAGUAGCCACAGUUGGGCAACAAGACUCUCAAAAGCAGGAAUCCAACAAUAGGCAUGAGAGGAUGCAAUUUACGCUUAUACCUGUGACGUAUAGGGAGCUCUAUCAAAAUCUAUAUGAUGCGCAUGCUAUAGUCCCUUUCCAUUUAAAACCAUUACAACCUCCGUAUCCUAAAUGGUAUGAUGCAAAUGCCAGAUGUGAGUAUCAUGCUGGAAUAUCGGGGCAUUUAAUCGAGAAUUAUACUGGAUUCAAGAAAGCCGUAGAGAGGUUGAUCAAGAAUGGGGUUUUAAAAUUUGAGAGUACCUCAAAUACUGAGAAUCCUUUGUCGAACCAUGACAAUCAGGGAGUAAAUGCCAUUGGUGAAGCCGGUGGAAAAAGGGAAAAGGAAAAUGUUGAUGAGAUAAGGAUGCCUAUGAGGGUAAUCUGGGAGGAGAUGAUAAAGAGAGGUAUGUUGACCUCUAAAAUACGAAAGAAAGAAUAGUGAGCUCCGUGAAGAUUGCGAGGAAUUCAAGGCCUUGGUGCAAGGCUUCAUAGACAACAAAGAGCUACAAGUUUUGAAGGUAGCUCUAGUGAAGAGCAAGUAUGUGUGCUGGAAAAUGAACAGAAAAGAACCAGCAGACCAAGGAUCAUUAUCUCCCUGCUAGGGAAUAAUGAAAUGAGGACACCAGCAGUGCCUAAGGUUAUUAUCCACACACCUACCCCUUUCCCUUACAAGGAUAGCAAGAAAGUACCAUAGAGUUCUGACUGUAGCGUGACGGUGUCGGGAGAAGGAAACAUAGCCAGCGCAUCUAAAAAUGUACGAGAUGAAGGUUCCCAUACGCGGAGUGGGAAGCGUUAUGAUAUGGGGGAUGUCAGAGUGGAGCCCAAAAAACCCAAGAAUGUUGAAAUUAAGAAAAAGAGUGAAGUACCUGUUAACGAGCCAGUGAGAGAGGAGGAAGCUAAGGAAUUUCUAAAGUUCCUUAAGCAUAGUGAGUACAGUGUGGUCGAGCAGUUGCGUAAGCAACCAGCAUGCAUAUCAGUUUUAGCCUUACUGCUAAGCUUUAAAGUGCAUCGAGAAGCAUUGGUGAAGGUACUCAACGAGACAUAUGUCACUCAUGAUAUAUCUGUCAAUAAGUUGGACCGGUUGAUAAAUAACAUCAGUGCUGUUAAUUUCAUCUACUUCAAUGAUGAUGAAAUUCCAACUGGGGGCAUAGGGUCAAUUAAGGCUUUGCACAUCACCACUCGUUGCAAAGGAUACACGCUUCCAAGUGUACUCAUUGAUAAUGGGUCCGCUUUGAACAUCCUUCCAUUAUCUACAUUGAACAGAUUACCCAUCGAUAGUUCGCACAUGAAGACAUGUCAUAAUGUGGUAAGAGCCUUUGACGGAACUGAAAGGAAAGUAAUGGGACGAAUUGACAUCCCUCUGGAGAUUGGACCAAAUACGUAUGAAGUUGACUUCCUGGUAAUGGAUAUCAAGCCCUCCUAUAAUUGUUUGUUGGGGAGGCCAUGGAUACACUCGGCAGGAGCGGUGCCUUCUUCACUGUACCAAAAAUUAAAGUUGGUGACAGAUGGACGCUUGAUAACCAUCAAUGUAGAGGAGGACAUCAUAGCAGCCGUCACUAGUAAACCUCCUUAUGUGGAGACAAAUGAGGAGGCUAUUGAGUGUUCUUUCCAUUCCUUGGAAAUUGUUAAUGCUACCUUCAUUUCGGAAGGAAGCGAGGUGCCGGUUCCCAGAAUGUCUAGAGCAACAAGGAUGGCCCUACAAAUAAUGAUGGGGAAAUGAGCAUUGCCAGGAAAAGGACUAGGAAAAUAGUUGCAAGGAGGGAUUCAAGUCCCAAAAUUGAUGGAGAAGAAGGAUCGCUUUGGUUUGGGUUUUAAGCCAAACCAUAAACAAAAGAGACAGGAGAUGGAAAAGCGUCAAGCAAGAAGGAAGGCGCGUUUGAACGGAAGAGAAGUAGAGUGGGAACUGAUGACAUUCCCACCUAUAUCCAAAACCUUUAAGUUAGGAGGGUUGCUGGUAGAAGAGAGUUAUCAUAUCAAUGUUGUACAUAGUGAGUGGUUUGGACAGGAAAACCUCGAGGGUAUUCGCCCUUACGAACCGGUGAGUUCUCUAAAUAAUUGGACUGCGGAGGAUCUUCCUGUAGUCUUUAGAAAUAUUUCAGAGUAAUUCUCGAAACAUGUUUAUUACUCUAGGGCCUAGGAGUAGUAAGAUUACAUUUGUGAAAAUAGGCUUAUGUUCAUCUAUUAUUAUUCAAAUAAAGCAUAACUUUUACUAAUUUAAAAGAGUAUUGCCUCAUUUUUAUCAACCAAUAUUCCUUUAAAUUCUAACAACUCUUAUUCUUUUAUUCAUAGCACAUAAAUGAUCAUUCUUAAAUUCAUUCAUUCUUUGUAUAUUCUUUCAUACCCCUUACAGGUCUCUAGAUAUCAAUGAUAUGAGCGCUAAUACUGCCGCUCCUGAUUUCUCUUGUGAGCAAGACAUGUGUUUAGAGGAGCCUCAGGAUUUUUAAGAUGUUUAAGAUUGUGAUGUAUCUCUCGAUCUAUUAAGAAUGGCAAAACAGGAGGAGCAACAAAUCAUGCCACAUGAAAAGGAGGCAAUAGAGAAUAUAGCCCUAGAGGAAGGGAAGGAGGUCAAAAUUGGAACACUGAUCGCUAAUGACACAAGGCGUAGCUUGAUUGAGUUGCUUCAGGAAUUCAAGGAUAUCUUUGCAUGGUCUUAUCAGGAUAUUCCCGGAUUGAGUACUGACAUUGUAGUACAUCGUCUUCCGAUAAGACAAGAAUGUAGACCGGUCCAAUAGAAGUUGCGAAGGAUGCGGCCAAACAUUGUCCAGAAAAUAAAAGAUGAGGUCAAGAAGCAGUUUGAUGCAGGAUUUUUGCAGGAAGUGAAGUACUCUGAAUGGGUAGCUAAUAUUGUACCUGUCCCUAACAAAGAUGGGAAGGUACGAAUGUGCGUUGAUUACAAAUAUCUAAACAAAGCAAGCCCAAAGGAUAAUUUUCCUCUGCCACACAUCGACACUUUAGUAGACAACACAGUGGGAUAUUCGUUGUUCUCCUUCAUGGACGGCUUCUCAGGAUAUAAUCAGAUAAAGAUGCAUCCAGAGGAUAUGGAUAAAACUACUUUCAUAACAUUGUGGGGCACCUUUUGUUAUAAAGUAAUGCCGUUUGGGUUGAAGAACGCAGGGGCAACAUACCAACGAGCCAUGGUAAACUUUUUUCACGACAUGAUGCAUAAGGAUAUUGAGGUAUACGUUGAUGAUAUGAUCGCCAAGUCGCGAACAGAAAAAGAACACAUUGAGGUCUUGAGAAGAUUGUUCUUAAGGUUGAGAAAAUUUUAGUUGAAGCUCAAUCCAGCAAAGUGCACCUUUGGAGCCAGAUCGGGGAAGUUAUUAGGCUUCGUAGUCAGUGAAAAGGGAAUUGAAGUUGACUCAGACAAGGUCAGACCAUACGAGAGUUGCCUCAACCACGUACUCAAAAAGAAGUUCGAGGAUUCCUAGGAAGGUUGAAUUACAUUGCUCGGUUCAUUUCACAAUUGACUGAGAAAUGUGAUCCUAUCUUUCAUGUGACAGCCCAAAAUUGACCCUAGUCGGGAAGUGGUUUCGGGACCGCUAAACCGAGUCAUAAAAAUAAUUAGCUGUCAUAUUUGAUGCUUAUUAUAUGUAUAUAUGCAUGUGUGAAAAUUUCAUAUUUGAAUUUUGUUUAAUUGUAGGUGAAUUUUAGUAAAUAGGACUUAUGUGAGAAAAUUUUGAAAUGUGAUAGGUUAAUUUAUAAGGACCUAUUAAAGCAUGUAGCGAAAAUAAUGGCUUUGCAUGUCAAAUACUCCUUUUUUUAUACAUAGUGGCCGGCCAUGAUGGAGCAUAUAUUAGAAUAUGUGGUAAAUUUCCAUGAAGUGGUCAUUAUUUUAUGUAAAGGAAAGGAAAUAAUAAAAGAAAUACUAAGGAUAAUAAAAGAAGUAAAAAAAAGGGGUUAUUACCUUGUUCUUCUUAGCCGUACAAGAAGAAGAAAAAGAGGGGGGGCAAAGGCAUUCGGCCUUUUGAAUGAAGAGAAGGUUAGUAAAUUUUGUUAAUCUUUCUUUUGAAAUCUUAGUUUGUUCAGGUUAAUCAUCACGUUUUUCUUAACUAGCCAUACUAAAAUUUUGAAUUUAGAGUGUUGGAUGGAACUUUCGGUUAUGGUAUGUGUGAGAAGAACUUGAUUUUUUUCUUACCUUUAAGUUUUGAUGUAUAAAGAAACAAAAGAUUGUUGAUGAAAGAAAUUAAUGUGUUAAGAGAUUAUAUGAAACUUAUUCAUGUUUAUAUAUGUUAUAUGCAUUGAAAAUGGUUGAUGAUUUUGGAUGUGAUUAGAUUGAAUCGGCCAUGGUAUAUCCAUAAGUAUGAUUUAUGCUUGUUAUGUUACUCAUGGUUAAAACGAUUCGGCUAUGGUUCAUGUAAAAAUAAAAUAUACAUGUGAAUUUAAAAGAUGGUAUGAACAAAUGUGGAGUUUUGCUAGUUUAGGAUUAUUCGGCCAAGUGUUUAUGUGGUGGAAAUUAAGUGUUAAAUGGAAUGAAAAUGAUAUUAUAUGGGGGUAUGUAUAUUCGGCCAUAUGAGUAAAUAUAUAGAUGAUGUUAAAUUUGAUUAUGUAUAAUGGGCCAUAUAGAGUACACAUUGUGAUAUUAACUUUAAUUCUCUAUAAUUGAUCAAGUGGAUGAUAUUGGUUUAUAUGGUCGAAUUUGAAUUAUGAAUAUGUACCUUGAAAUAAAAUGUUGCCGUAUGCUUCUUUUGAUAUGAAACUAUUAAUGUUAUGGGAUAUAAAUAACUAGCAAGGUAAUUAAACUAGUUGAUUUAUUUAUUUAAGCUCAAGAACCUAAAGGAGAGGCGUCCAACAAGGGAAAAUCGAAGGUCAUCGAGUAGCCGACUUGGAAUUAUUUUACCCAACAUAAAGUAAGUCAUUAAGCAUAUAGUUUGUAUUAAUUUAAAUGGUCAUAACGUCUAUGUAAUGAUGCUGAAUGGAAUGAUAAAUAUAUAUACAUGUAUGUAUGUGGUGAUGAAAGUGUUGAAUGAAAAGAAAAGAGGUGAAAUGUAUUGAGUUGUUGAUCUCGGCACUAAAAGUGCGGGUAUAAACAUUUAUGAUCAUGAGAUUGGCGCUAAGUGUGCGGAUUUAAAUUGUACAGCACUAAGUGUGCGAGUUUGAUUAUGUAGCACUAAGUGUGCGAGUUUGAUUAUAUAGCACUAAGUGUGCAAGUUGAUUAUAUAGCACUGAGUGUGCGGACUUAAUAUAUACUUUGGAAUCACUAUGGACACUAAGUGUGCGACAUUAUUGAGUUGAUCACGGACAGCGGAUCGGGUAAGUACCUCGAGUUCGUGACUAAUAGGCGCUAUGUUUAUAUUUGAAGUUGAGCUUGGUAAGUUUGAACCUAUGUGACAAUUAUAAUUGAAGUCACGUACAUAAGAUUUAUCAUGGAAUAGGUGAAAGGUCGUUUAGUUGUAUGAUUGUAACGAAAAUAAAAUUGCCUCAAAUAUCCUAUUGAUUAGUAUAUGGAAUGUGAAUGCAUGACUUGGUAUGAGCUUGAACCGAUAGGUUUGAGGAACUAUGGUAUGGUUCGGUAUGGAUGGAGUAACUAGCCUUGUUCCAUUUUGCUUCCUCUUGUGAUAAUGUUAUUAAUGGAUGGUAGUGCAUUGCUUAUGACUUACUGAGUUAUAUACUCACUCGGUGUUUCCUUGUCACCUAUUUUAGGUUUCUUGGACUCGUCUCUUUUUGCGUGAUCGGGCCGUCAUCGGAGUCAUCACACCGGCUAGCAACUUUUGGUAUUUUCUUUUUAGUCGGUCUAGGAGAACAUUUCGGCAUGUAUAGGCUAAUAUGUUUUGUUGAAAUUUGGUAUGUAAAAUUUUAGCCAUGCGAAAAUGGCAUAAAUGUUCGGUUGGAUUUGGUUUUAUAACGUUAGGUCGUAAGUCUUGGUAAUUCGAUUUUCUUUUUAUGCCAUAUGUCAUGGCUGAUUAAUUUUGAUGUUAAGAUUCAUGAUAUGGCAAUAGUGUAGUAGGGAGAUGUUUGACAAUGAUUAGCCUUUGGUAUGGCUAGUCAUGAUUAUAAUUUUGUGAUAUGUAUGAUGAAUUACUAGAUAGAUCAAUGAGAAAUCACGAAAUGGGCAUAGUUGCUUCAGUAACAGAUGCUGGCAGCAGCAGUGACGUGGGAUUGAAAAAUUACAAAAAUUAUUAGGAAUGGAAUUAAAUAGUUAAUAAAUUAUGUAAUCAAAGCUCGAUGAGUCUAUUUUCAUAUAGAAGUAACGAAACGAUCAUAUGGACAGUAUGUUAAGAGAUAUUCAGGUUCUCGUGAGACAGGGCCAGAACGGUUUCUGGGUUCCCUGUUCCGAAUUUGGAAAUUCAUUAUAAAUUAACCAGAGAUAAUUAGGAGUCAUGCCAUAUAUUUAUAGAUUCCUCUCUGAGUCUAGUUUCUAUAGAAACAAACGGCAUCAGUAUUGAAGCUUUGUGCAGGGAGUUAUCCAAAUCGUAAUGCAUGAAGGUCAGUGUAGUCGCACCCUGUAAUAGGGGAGAAUUUAACUAAUAAACUGUACUAAUUGGCCCGACCAAAAAUUCUACAAAAAUUCUACCAUAUAGGUAUAUGAGUCUAGUUCCAGGGAAAAGUUACGGAACUGGAUUUUGAGUUUCAGAACUCAAGAUAUGAUUUUUAAAGCGACUAGUACGCAGAUUGGCAGCUUGUCUGGGAAAUGUCAAAUAAGUGGUUUGAAGUCUGUUAACACCUCGUGUUCGACUCUGGCGACGGUCUCGGGUUCGGGGUGUUACAAUUUUAUUGGUAUCAGAGCUAUGGUUUAGUCGGUUCUAGGACUACCAUAGCACGUAUGAGUCUAGCUAUACAUGCCUUAAUGUUAAUGUUUAAAUGUGUGAUGACUUCUGACGGUUAAAAUUUUUGUUUUGAUUAGUAAAUGGAUCCCGGUGUAGAGAGAACCUUGGCGGAUGACGUUGAAAGUGUAGCGGCUGCUCCUGCACAAGGGACGCCGCCUGUUGAACCUCAGUCAUCUGCGAAUGAUCAAGGUGAGGGGGCUAAACAAGCCUUCUUUACCAUGAAGAAUGAGUGGGUCGCACAAUAUGCCCGAACCAAUCCGGCUGUCCAACAAUUCCCGAAUUUGAAUAAUCCACCCCAAGAGCCCGUAAUGCCAUCAGUCACUGAUCCUGUGAGGCUGAGUAAGCCACCUGUAGACUUGAUUAGGAAGCGCGGGGCUGAGGAGUUCAGGGCCAUAGUUACUGAUGAUGCUGAAAGGGCCGAGUUCUGGCUUGAUAACACCAUUCGGGUGUUUGAUGAACUGUCAUGCACACCCGAUGAAUGUCUAAAGUGUUCUAUAUCCUUGUUGCGGGACUCAGCCUACUAUUGGUGGAGGACCCUGAUUUCCAUAGUGCCAAACGAACGAGUUACUUGGGACUUCUUUCAAACGGAAUUCUGAAAGAAAUAUAUUAGCCAACGGUUCAUUGAUCAAAAGCGCAAGGAAUUCUUGGAACUCAAGCAAGGCCGUAUGACAGUAUCUGAAUACGAACAUGAAUUCGUAAGACUCAGUAGGUAUGCCCGGGAGUGUGUAGCUAAUGAGGUUGCUAUGUGUAAAAGAUUCGAAGAAGGAUUGAAUGAAGAUUUAAAGCUACUAGUGGGUAUUUUGGAGAUAAAAGAAUUCGUAACACUAGUCGAACGAGCCUGCAAGGCGGAAGAACUUGGAAAGGAGAAGAAGAAGGCUGAAUUUGAAGCUAGAGACUAUCAUAAAAGAUCGAUGGGUAAAGCUCCGUUCUCAGCUAUAAAGAAGUUCAGGGAGGACACUAAUAAGUCGAGGACGACUGCGGGAAUUUCCAUCAGGGCACGACCAUCGACGGACUCCCGAGCUACUUCGGUAGCUAGUGUGGGCAAUAAUCGUCAAGAGAAACCUGAAUGUCCCCAAUGCGGAAGACGACACCUAGGUGAAUGUUGGGGUAAGUCUACUAACAGGGCCUGUUACAGAUGCAGUUCGAAGGACCACUUCAUUAGAGAUUGCACGGAGCUUGAUGAGAAGAAUAAGAUUCAAGGUGCAAGACCUAGUGGAGUGAAAACUAGAGGUAGACCACCGAGAAUUUUAGGAGGUAGGGGUGGUAGUCAGAGAGGGGCCUCUGAUACGGCUGUUCGAGCCGAGAAUCGUACUCUUGCUAGAGCAUAUGCCAUUCGCGCACGAGAGGAGGCAUCCUCCCCUGACGUCAUCACUGGUACCUUCACUCUCAUUGAUACUAAUGUGAUUGCAUUGAUUGACCCUGGCUCUACUCAUUCAUAUGUAUGCGAAACCUUAGCAUCCAGUAAGACUCUACCUGUUGAGUCUACUGAGUUCGUAAUUCGAGUGUCAAACCCUUUGGGUCAAUGCGUACUUGUUGAUAAAGUGUGUAAGAGAUGCCCUCUAAUAAUCCGAGAAUCCUAUUUUCUGGCCGAUUUGAUGCUUUUGCCGUUUGACGAAUUUGAUGUUAUUCUUGGUUUGGAUUGGUUGACCGCGCAUGAUGCGGUUGUGAAUUGCAAAAGCAACACUAUUGAUUUGAGGUGCGCAAAUAACGAGAUAAUCCGAGUUGAGUCUACAGACUUAAGGGGGUUGCCAGGUGUAAUAUCAGCAAUGUUGGCCCAGAAAUAUGUAAGAAAAGGGUGCGAAGCAUACCUUGCGUAUGUACUUGAUGACAAAGAAUUAGAAAAGAAACCCGAAUCUGUGCCGGUGGUUUGUGAAUACCCGGAUGUUUUUCCUGAAGAGUUACCGGGUUUGCCACCUGUUCGGGAGAUAGAGUUUGGUAUUGAGCUUGUACCUGGAACUACGCCAAUUUCGAUAUCUCCGUAUCGUAUGGCACUAACCGAGUUAAAGGAAUUGAAAGCUCAAUUGCAAGAGUUGACGAAUAGAGGUUUCGCUCGACCAAGUUUCUCACCUUGGGGUGCACCAGUAUUGUUCGUGAAAAAGGACGGAACCAUGAGAUUGUACAUUGACUAUCGUCAACUGAAUAAAGUGACGAUAAAGAAUAAAUAUCCAUUACCGCGCAUUGAUGAUUUUUUUGAUCAACUAAAGGGAGCCUCAGUGUUUUCAAAGAUAGAUUUGAGAUCGGGUUAUUAUCAGUUGCGGAUUCGAGAUUCGGACGUACCCAAAACUGCUUUCAGAACGAGGUACGGUCACUACGAGUUCUUAGUGCUGCCGUUCGGCCUCACUAAUGCCCUUGCGGUAUUUAUGGAUUUGAUGAAUCGGAUCUUCAGACAGUAUUUGGACCGGUUCGUAGUUGUGUUCAUUGAUGACAUCUUAGUCUAUUCAGGAGAUGAGACCGAACAUGCUGAGCACCUGAUAUUAGUGUUGUAAAUUUUGUGGGAUAAGAAGUUAUAUGCUAAGUUCAGUAAGUGUGAGUUCUGGUUAAGAGAGGUUAGUUUCUUGGGUCAUGUGGUAUCCGCAUCGGGUAUUCGAGUUGACCCGAGCAAAAUUUCAGCCAUACUUAACUGGAAGCCUCCAAGAAAUGUUAACGAAGUUCGGAGCUUCCUAGGGCUUGCCGGUUAUUACCGACGAUUUGUAAAAGGGUUCUCGAUGAUAGCCACACCAAUGACGAAGCUACUUCAAAAGGAUGCUAAGUUCGAAUGGACAGAGAAAUGUCAGAAAAGCUUCGAUCAACUGAAAACUCAUUUGACUGAAGCUCCAAUUUUAGUGCAACCCGAAUCAGGCAAAGAGUUUGUCAUUUAUAGUGACGCAUCCCUACUCGGGUUGGGUUGCGUAUUGAUGUAAGAAGGUCGAGUUGUGGCCUAUGCGUCGAGAUAAUUGAAGCCACACGAGAGAAAUUAUCCAACCCAUGAUCUCGAACUAGCCGCCAUCGUAUUUGCUUUGAAAAUAUGGCGACAUUAUUUGUUUGGCGAAAAGUGCCAUGUAUUUUCGGAUCACAAAAGUCUCAAAUAUUUGAUGACUCAAAGAGACUUAAAUCUGCGACAAAGACGUUGGCUUGAGUUGUUGAAAGAUUACGAGCUUGUCAUUGAUUACCACCCGGGAAAGGCUAAUGUGGUUGCGGACGCCUUAAGCCGGAAAUCGCUGUUUGCUUUACGAGCGAUGAAUGUACACUUGUCUGUUCUACCCGACAAUGUGUUAGUAGCUGAAUUAAAGGCCAAACCAUUAUUGAUUCAUCAAAUUCGUGAAGCUCAGAAAGUCGACGAUGAAUUGGUUGCAAAACGGGCUGAAUGUAUUCCGAAUAUGGAAUCCGAAUUUCAAAUUGAUGAUGACGAUUGUUUGAGGUUCAGAAGUCGAUUGUGUGUUCCAAGAAAUUCAGAACUCAUUUCGAUGAUUCUGAACGAAGCUCAUUGUAGCCGAAUGUCAAUUCACCCGGGGAGUGCGAAAAUGUACAACGAUUUGGAACGUCGGUUUUGGUGGCAUGGUAUGAAACGGGACAUCUCCGACUUUGUUUCGAGAUGUUUAAUAUGUCAACAAGUGAAAGCGGAACAUCAAGUGCCUUCAGGAUUACUUCAGCCGAUCAUGAUACCUGAGUGGAAAUGGGAUCGAGUCACAAUGGACUUUGUGUCCGGACUGCCAUUGUCAGCAAGCAAGAAGGAUGCGAUUUGGGUUGUUGUUGAUAGACUGACUAAGUCGGCUCACUUUAUCCCCGUGCGUACGGAUUUUUCAUUGGAUAAACUAGCCGAAUUGUAUGUUUCUCAGAUUGUGAGAUUACAUGGAGUACCUAUUUCUAUCGUGUCAGAUAGAGAUCCGAGAUUCACCUCACGAUUUUGGAAGAAAUUGCAAGAACCUUUGGGUACCAAGCUGCAUUUUAGCACCGCUUUUCAUCCACAAACCGAUGGUCAAUCCGAGCGGAUAAUUCAGAUACUUGAGGAUAUGUUGAGAUGUUGCAUCCUCGAGUUUAGUGGUUCAUGGGAACGGUAUUUACCUUUGAUUGAAUUCGCUUACAACAAUAGUUUUCAAUCAAGUAUUAAAAUGGCACCUUACGAGGCUUUGUACGGUCGUAAAUGCCGUACACCAUUGUUUUGGACCGAGCUCGGUGAAAGUGAAAUUUUCGGAGUCGAUUUGAUUAAAGAUGCCGAACAGAAAGUAAGGGUAAUCCGUGAAAGUCUAAAGGCAGCCACGGAUCGUCAGAAAUCGUAUGCGGAUUUGAAACGAAAAGACAUUGAAUAUCAGGUGGGAGAUAAAGUGUUUCUUAAAGUUUCGCCUUGGAAAAAGGUACUCAGAUUUGGCCGAAAGGGCAAGUUGAGUCCGAGAUUCAUUGGGCCAUACGAAAUAUCCGAACGAGUCGGUCCAGUUGCGUAUCGAUUGAUUUUACCCCCUGAACUUGAAAAGAUUCACGACGUCUUUCAUGUUUCGAUGCUUCGACGCUAUAGAUCUGAUCCUUCGCACAUAAUUAGUCCGUCGGAGGUUGAAAUUCAAGCCGAUAUGAGUUAUGAAGAAGACCCGAUGCGUAUCCUAGCUCGUGAAGUGAAGGGGUUGCGAAACAAAAGGGUUCCGUUAGUAAAGGUGUUAUGGCUCAAACACGGGAUCGAGGAAGCUACUUGGGAAACCGAGAGCUCGAUGAAAGAACGAUACCCAAACCUAUUUACCGGUAAGAUUUUUGGGGACUAAAAUUUCUUGAGUGGGGGAGAGUUGUGGCAGCCCAAAAUUGACCCUAGUCGGGAAGUGGUUUCGGGACCGCUAAACCGAGUCAUAAAAAUAAUUAGCUGUCAUAUUUGAUGCUUAUUAUAUGUAUAUAUAUGCAUGUGUGAAAAUUUCAUAUUUGAAUUUUGUUUAAUUGUAGGUGAAUUUUAGUAAAUAGGACUUAUGUGAGAAAAUUUUGAAAUGUGAUAGGUUAAUUUAUAAGGACCUAUUAAAGCAUGUAGCGAAAAUAAUGGCUUUGCAUGUCAAAUACUCCUUUUUUUAUACAUAGUGGCCGGCCAUGAUGGAGCAUAUAUUAGAAUAUGUGGUAAAUUUCCAUGAAGUGGUCAUUAUUUUAUGUAAAGGAAAGGAAAUAAUAAAAGAAAUACUAAGGAUAAUAAAAGAAGUAAAAAAAAGGGGUUAUUACCUUGUUCUUCUUAGCCGUACAAGAAGAAGAAAAAGAGGGGGGAGGCAAAGGCAUUCGGCCUUUUGAAUGAAGAGAAGGUUAGUAAAUUUUGUUAAUCUUUCUUUUGAAAUCUUAGUUUGUUCAGGUUAAUCAUCACGUUUUUCUUACCUAGCCAUACUAAAAUUUUGAAUUUAGAGUGUUGGAUGGAACUUUCGGUUAUGGUAUGUGUGAGAAGAACUUGAUUUUUUUUCUUACCUUUAAGUUUUGAUGGAUAAAGAAACAAAAGAUUGUUGAUGAAAGAAAUUAAUGUGUUAAGAGAUUAUAUGAAACUUAUUCAUGUUUAUAUAUGUUAUAUGCAUUGAAAAUGGUUGAUGAUUUUGGAUGUGAUUAGAUUGAAUCGGCCAUGGUAUAUCCAUAAGUAUGAUUUAUGCUUGUUAUGUUACUCAUGGUUAAAACGAUUCGGCUAUGGUUCAUGUAAAAAUAAAAUAUACAUGUGAAUUUAAAAGAUGGUAUGAACAAAUGUGGAGUUUUGCUAGUUUAGGAUUAUUCGGCCAAGUGUUUAUGUGGUGGAAAUUAAGUGUUAAAUGGAAUGAAAAUGAUAUUAUAUGGGGGUAUGUAUAUUCGGCCAUAUGAGUAAAUAUAUAGAUGAUGUUAAAUUUGAUUAUGUAUAAUGGGCCAUAUAGAGUACACAUUGUGAUAUUAACUUUAAUUCUCUAUAAUUGAUCAAGUGGAUGAUAUUGGUUUAUAUGGUCGAAUUUGAAUUAUGAAUAUGUACCUUGAAAUAAAAUGUUGCCGUAUGCUUCUUUUGAUAUGAAACUAUUAAUGUUAUGGGAUAUAAAUAACUAGCAAGGUAAUUAAACUAGUUGAUUUAUUUAUUUAAGCUCAAGAACCUAAAGGAGAGGCGUCCAACAAGGGGAAAUCGAAGGUCAUCGAGUAGCCGACUUGGAAUUAUUUUACCCAACAUAAAGUAAGUCAUUAAGCAUAUAGUUUGUAUUAAUUUAAAUGGUCAUAACGUCUAUGUAAUGAUGCUGAAUGCAAUGAUAUAUAUAUAUACAUGUAUGUAUGUGGUGAUGAAAGUGUUGAAUGAAAAGAAAAGAGGUGAGAUGUAUUGAGUUGUUGAUCUCGGCACUAAGAGUGCGGGUAUAAACAUUUAUGAUCAUGAGAUUGGCGCUAAGUGUGCGGGUUUAAAUUGUACAGCACUAAGUGUGCGAGUUUGAUUAUGUAGCACUAAGUGUGCGAGUUUGAUUAUAUAGCACUAAGUGUGCAAGUUGAUUAUAUAGCACUGAGUGUGCGGACUUAAUAUAUACUUUGGAAUCACUAUGGACACUAAGUGUGCGACAUUAUUGAGUUGAUCACGGACAGCGGAUAGGGUAAGUACCUCGAGUUCGUGACUAAUAGGCGCUAUGUUUAUAUUUGAAGUUGAGCUUGGUAAGUUUGAACCUAUGUGACAAUUAUAAUUGAAGUCACGUACAUAAGAUUUAUCAUGGAAUAGGUGAAAGGUCGUUUAGUUGUAUGAUUGUAACGAAAAUAAAAUGAUGUAUGAAAAUGCCGCAAAUAUCCUAUUGAUUAGUAUAUGGAAUGUGAAUGCAUGACUUGGUAUGAGCUUGAACCGAUAGGUUUGAGGAACUAUGGUAUGGUUCGGUAUGGAUGGAGUAACUAGCCUCGUUCCAUUUUGCUUCCUCUUGUGAUAAUGUUAUUAAUGGAUGGUAGUGCAUUGCUUAUGACUUACUGAGUUAUAUACUCACUCGGUGUUUCCUUGUCACCUAUUUUAGGUUUCUUGGACUCGUCUCUUUUUGCGUGAUCGGGCCGUCAUCGGAGUCAUCACACCGGCUAGCAACUUUUGGUAUUUUCUUUUUAGUCGGUCUAGGAGAACAUUUCGGCAUGUAUAGGCUAAUAUGUUUUGUUGAAAUUUGGUAUGUAAAAUUUUAGCCAUGCGAAAAUGGCAUAAAUGUUCGGUUGGAUUUGGUUUUAUAACGUUAGGUCGUAAGUCUUGGUAAUUCGAUUUUCUUUUUAUGCCAUAUGUCAUGGCUGAUUAAUUUUGGUGUUAAGAUUCAUGAUAUGGCAAUAGUGUAGUUGGGAGAUGUUUGACAAUGAUUAGCCUUUGGUAUGGCUAGUCAUGAUUAUAAUUUUGUGAUAUGUAUGAUGAAUUACUAGAUAGAUCAAUGAGAAAUCACGAAAUGGGCAUAGUUGCUUCAGUAACAGAUGCUGGCAGCAGCAGUGACGUGGGAUUGAAAAAUUACAAAACUUAGUAGGAAUGGAAUUAAAUAGUUAAUAAAUUAUGUAAUCGAAGCUCGAUGAGUCUAUUUUCAUAUAGAAGUAACGAAACGAUCAUAUGGACAGUAUGUUAAGAGAUAUCCAGGUUCUCGUGAGACAGGGCCAGAACGGUUUCUGGGUUCCCUGUUCCGACUUUGGAAAUUCAUUAUAAAUUAACCAGAGAUAAUUAGGAGUCAUGACAUAUAUUUGUAGAUUCCUCUCUGAGUUUAGUUUCUAUAGAAACAAACGGUAUCAGUAUUGAAGCUUUGUGCAGGGAGUUAUCCAAAUCGUAAUGCAUGAAGGUCAGUGUAGUCGCACCCUGUAAUAGGGGAGAAUUUAACUAAUAAACUGUACUAAUUGGCCCGACCAAAAAUUCUACAAAAAUUCUACCAUAUAGGUAUAUGAGUCUAGUUCCAGGGAAAAUUUAUGGAACUGGAUUUUGAGUUUCAGAAAUCAAGAUAUGAUUUUUAAAGCGACUAGUACGCAGAUUGGCAGCUUGUCUGGGAAAUGUCAAAUAAGUGGUUUGAAGUCUGUUAACACCUCGUGUUCGACUCCGGCAACGAUCUCGGGUUCGGGGUGUUACAAUUCGUCUCCUCAGAAAGCACAAUCAAGGUGCUUGGGAUGAAGAAUGCCAGAAUGCUUUUGAGAAAGUCAAGCAGUAUUUGUUGAAUGCUCCAGUGUUAUCUCCGCCUAGUCCAGAUAAACCGUUAAUACUAUACUUGUCAGUGUUCAGCAAUUCUAUGGGAUGUGUGCUUGGUCAGCAUGACGAGUCAGGGAAAAAGGAAAAGGCAAUUUAUUAUCUCAGUAAGAAAUUCACUGACUGUGAAAUGAGAUAUUCGUCAAUCGAAAAGUUGUGUUGUGCGUUGAUUUGGACCACACGGAGAUUAAGACAGUACAUGCUAUACCAUACUACUUGGCUCAUCUCAAAAUUAGAUCCACUAAAAUACAUGAUGGAAUCAACGGCUCUAAAUGGAAGAAUGGCGAAGUGGCAAAUUUUGCUUUCAGAGUUCGAUAUAGUCUAUGUAAGUCAGAAGGCUAUCAAAGGAAGUGCGGUGGAAGACUUCUUGGCUAGUAGAGCUUUGGAAGAUUACGAGCCAUUGAAUUUUGAUUUUCCAAAUGAGGAGCUAAUGUGUAUAGCAGCAACUGAAGAUUCUCCAUGGAAGCUAAAUUUUGAUGGGGCAGUCUUGGUAUCCCCGAAUGGCGACCAUUACCCGUUCACAUGCAAGUUGGAUUUUGACUGUACAAAUAAUAUGGCUAAAUACGAAGCAUGCAUCAUGGGGCUCCAAGCAGCCAUAGAAAGAGGCAUAAAAACCCUAGAAGUAUAUGGAGAUUCUGCGUUGGUAAUCUAUCAGCUAAGAGGUGAAUGGGAGACAAGAGACCCUAAAUUGAUCAAUUAUCGAAUGGUAGUUUUGGGGUUACUAAGAGAGUUCGUGACAUCACCUUCAACUAUCUCCCACGAGAUGAGAAUCAGAUGGCAGAUGCUUUAGCAACAUUGGCUUCAAUGAUUAAGGCAAACAAAGAGGAAGAGAUGAGACCAAUUCAAAUGAGUGUCUAUGAAUUUCCAGCUAGCUGUUGUAACCUUGAAGAGGAAGAAAAGGAUGACAAUCCUUGGUAUCAGGAUAUAUUGCGAUAUGUAAGAGAUCGUAAAUAUCCAGUAUAGGCAUCCGAAAAUGACAAACGAACCCUGAGAAGAUUAGCUUGUGACUAUGUUUUGGACGGGGAUGUUCUGUACAAGAGAAGGAAAGACCAAGUACUUUUGAGAUGUGUCGAUGCUAUGGAAGCCAAGCUAAUUCUAGAAGAGGUUCAUCAAGGUGUAUGUGGUACGCAUGCAAAUGGGUUCACAAUGGCAAGACAAAUCAUGAGGUUUGGCUAUUACUGGGCCACUAUGGAAGGAGACUGUAUCAACUAUGCCAAAAAAUGCCAUAAGUGUCAGAUUUAUGGAGACAAAAUUCAUGUACCACCCUCACUUUUACAUGUCAUGACGUCUCCAUGGCCAUUUUCCAUGUGGGGUAUGGAUGUCAUCGGACCAAUAUCGCCAAAAGCUUCGAAUGGACAUCAGUUUAUUUUCGUAGUGAUUGACUACUUUACAAAAUGGGUAGAGGCUGCUUCUUACGCAAAUGUUACCAAGUCAGCUGUAAGUCGAUUUUUGAAGAAGGAAAUCAUUUGUUGGUAUGAAAUACCUGAGAGGAUCAUAUCCGACAAUGCAUUAAAUUUGAACAACAAAAUGAUAGCAGAAGUCUGCGACCAAUUCAAAAUCAAGCAUCACAACUCUUCACCCUAUCGUCCAAAGAUGAAUGGGGCAGUGGAGGCUGCCAAUAAGAACAUUAAGAAAAUAGUGGGAAAGAUGACUAAGACUUAUAGGGAUUGGCAUGAAAAGCUACCGUUUGCACUCUUGGCUUAUCGAACAUCUGUUAGAACUUCUACUGGGGCAACUCUGUUCUCGUUAGUUUACGGGAUGGAGGCAGUUUUACCUAUUGAAGUGGAAAUACCUUCUCUCCGAAUUUAAACAGAGAUAAGGUUAGAUGAAGCUAAAUGGGUUCAGUCUCGAUAUGACCAGCUAAACUUGAUUGAGGAAAAGAGGCUGAAGGCUAUCCGACAUGGUCAGAUGUACCAGAAGUGUAUGACGCGAGCUUAUGAUAAAAAAGUUCGUCCAAGGGAAUUCCAUGAGGGGGACCUUGUGCUAAAGAAAAUCCUUCCCAUUCAGAAGGACUUUAAAGGAAAAUGGAUGCCAAAUUGGGAGGGGCCAUACGUCGUGAAGAAGGCUUUUUCUGGUGGUGCAUUGAUUUUGACAGAAAUGGAUGGAAAGAGCCUACCCAAUUCGGUGAACUCAGACUCAGUCAAAAAGUACUUUGUCUAAAAGUGAAAAGAAUCCAAGGUGAAAACCCACAAAUGGCGCCUUUAAUUUAAAAAAAAAAGGAGAGGCCAAGGUGAAAACCCACAAAGGGCACCUUGUGACCAAAGAGAUUUUGAGUUGAAAACCCGAAAGGGCAGCUCAAAUUUUGAAGGACACACAGCAACCUUGCUUGACAGAGAGUGAGGCACAGUGUACAUUGGGGCAUCAACAAAGUACUUUGGAUCUUUUAAACACAUGUCGAACUCAAGAAAGGCUUCGAGGAACUAAUGUAUAGAUGCUCAAGCGGCAAUAUUUAGGGCAUCUGAUUUUUAUCCUGUUUGCUAUCUUUAGAUUCUAUUUCUUCUUAAAGAUAUGCUAUCAGACUUAUUUCCUUUGUAUUGUUAACAAUUCAAAUCCAAUUAUUCUCAAAGAUUUACUCAUCUUCUGAUAUUUUUAAAGUAUGUUGCAUUGAAAUAAUGAUAGAUGAACUAAAAUAUUUUCACAAACGAAGUUUUGCACAUUACUUUGGAAUUUCUAGAUAAUACAAGAAACUAAAACAGGACAAUUGCUCGAGAAAUUCACGUAAGUAAGGGAUGAAGGAACUUGAGGGAUUUCUUUCUUCCAGUCCAAAAAGAAAUGGAUGAUUCAAUUCUUACAGACAUCCUCAGUAGAUCAUAGCAUUGGAGGAAGGCCUACAAGAUGAGUAAGAAUAAAAUUUUGAGAAAGACAAAUGAAUGAAUGAAUAAUGACACCUGAGAUUGGGGUCAUAUUCACAGCACUUUGCAUCAUAACAUGUUAAGGACAUUCGACUCAUUUCAAUCAUAGCAUACUUAGGCAUAGGCACUUAAUCAUCUUACAGGUCAUGUCCUCUAGGGGACAAUGAAGAUCAAAGAUUUCAACAUGGCAUCCCUGUGCUUAUGGGAAAUAAAUUGAAGACAGCAGAUCUAGACUUCAGACAUUUAUGCUAAAGCAGAUCCAAGAUAAUUUGGUAUUCUUGUGUUUACAAGAAACAAAUCGAGGACAUAGCAGAUCUGACUCUCAGACGUUCUCAAAUAUAACAGAUCUAGACUUUAGACAUUUAUGCUGAAGCAGAUCCAAGAUGAUUUGGUAUUCUUGUGUUUACAAGAAACAAAUCGAGGACAUAGCAGAUUUGACUCUCAGACGUUCUCAAAUAUAGCAGAUCUAACCUUCGGAUGUUUAUACUGAAGCAGAUCCAAGAUGAUUUGGUAUUCUUGUGUUUACAAGAAACAAAUCGAGGACAUAGCAGAUUUGACUCUCAGACGUUCUCAAAUAUAGCAGAUCUAACCUUCAGAUGUUUAUACUGAAGCAGAUCCAAGAUGAUUUGGUAUUCUUGUGUUUACAAGGAACAAACCGAGGACAUAGCAGAUUAGACUUUCAGAUGUUCUCAAACAGACUCAAGAUGGUUUGGCAUCCUUGUGCUUACAAAGAACAAAUCGAGGACAUUGCAUAUAUGACUCUCAAAUGUUCUCAAACAGACUCAAGAUGGUUUGGCAUCCUUAUGCUUACAAGGAACAAAUCGAGGAAAUUGCAGAUAUGACUCUCAAAUGUUCUCAAACAGACUCAAGACGGUUUGGCAUCCUUGUGCUUACAAGGAACAAAUCGAGGACAUUGUAGAUAUGACUCUCAAAUGUUCUCAAACAGACUCAAGAUGGUUUAGGCAUCCUUGUGCUUACAAGGAACAAGUCGAGGACCUUGCAGAUAUGAUUCUCAAAUGUUCUCAAGCAGACUCAAAAUGAUUUGACAUCCUUACAAAUCGAAGAAGCAGACUCAGUGUCUUUAUGUUUGGCGGAAAGCGGAUUGAAGAUCAUAGAACCGAUCAAAUUUGGGUCUUCUUAUGAGUCUUUGCUUGAUUCCUGUUACACAGCAAUAAGCAAAGAGGGGCAGCUGUAAUAGCCCAAAUUUGACCGGGUUUAAAUAAGGAAAAAGAAAUUAGAUAAAUAAAUAAAAAAUUAUUUAUUAAAUAGUCCAUUGAAAGUCCAGGACUACUGUUGCUACCCAAAGCCCAAAUACAAAAAACCCAUAUCUGGGUAUAACCCAAUAGCCAAAACAAUACCUAAUACCCCUGAGCUAAACCCAAACCCAAAUAAGACCCGUUACAUCCAGCAGCCCGUUAGACUCAUUAUCCCUGCUAGCCUAAGUCAGACCUAACCCAUUACAUUACAGACCUUGACCCAAAACAAAACAGCCCAAAAGGCCCAACAGACUUAAGAGAAACAGGGAAACCCUAGGGUUUCCUGAAUACUGUGGCGCCGCAAACAUUUCUGGAAGCUUCGGGGAGUGUCUGGCAACCCCCAAAUCG
This 26478-nucleotide long non-coding RNA is filed under the name Gossypium barbadense (sea-island cotton). RNAcentral's name for it is "long non-coding RNA (GBAR_LNC009363)". The record is from RNAcentral. Lineage: Eukaryota; Viridiplantae; Streptophyta; Magnoliopsida; Malvales; Malvaceae.